GACGAACGCUGGCGGCGUGCUUAACACAUGCAAGUCGAACGGAAAGGCCCUGCUUUUGUGGGGUGCUCGAGUGGCGAACGGGUGAGUAACACGUGAGUAACCUGCCCUUGACUUUGGGAUAACUUCAGGAAACUGGGGCUAAUACCGGAUAGGAGCUCCUGCUGCAUGGUGGGGGUUGGAAAGUUUCGGCGGUUGGGGAUGGACUCGCGGCUUAUCAGCUUGUUGGUGGGGUAGUGGCUUACCAAGGCUUUGACGGGUAGCCGGCCUGAGAGGGUGACCGGCCACAUUGGGACUGAGAUACGGCCCAGACGCCUACGGGAAGCAGCAGUGGGGAAUAUUGCACAAUGGGCGGAAGCCUGAUGCAGCAACGCCGCGUGCGGGAUGACGGCCUUCGGGUUGUAAACCGCUUUCGCCUGUGACGAAGCGUGAGUGACGGUAAUGGGUAAAGAAGCACCGGCUAACUACGU
Molecule: ribosomal RNA, 467 nt
Filed under: uncultured bacterium
Lineage: Bacteria
Description: partial 16S ribosomal RNA
Rfam family: Bacterial small subunit ribosomal RNA
Source: RNAcentral